This 877-nucleotide long non-coding RNA is filed under the name Capra hircus (goat). Its description in RNAcentral is "lncRNA (ENSCHIG00000005593.1)". Lineage: Eukaryota; Metazoa; Chordata; Mammalia; Artiodactyla; Bovidae. The record is from RNAcentral.
GGCAGUAUCAGAGCUCUGAUAUGAAUUCGGUUUGGUCUCUGUCUAGCAACCUUUGUACUUCACGUCAAAGGCCUUUAUACAUAGCAGGGGCUCAGGAAAUGGUUUUUUUUUUUUUUUUUUUUUUUUGAGAUGACACAAAAACGAAGUGAGGCUUUUUUUCCGAGGCCAGAGGAGGAGACUGGCUCCUGGCUGCACAGAUACAGCUUGCAUCCCUGGUAAUCCUUCACAGGACCUGCUGCGGGGAGCUGAGUGGUUUAUACCUGGUAGCCUGGGCCAAGAGGCAGCGUUUAAGGGGCUGAUGACUCAUCCAGAACCAGCCUCCAUUCUUCGUGUGGAGGAGAGCCUUGAUGGGCGCUGGAGGCUAAUUGCACGGCGCUGGGAGUAAUGCAGCUGCUGUAAUUCCUGUCACCUCUAACGGCGCAGUGGGAGCUUCCGGGGGAUCACGCCAGGCAUUUGGGGGCCGUCUGCAUUCUUGGUGAGUGUCACUGUCAGAGGUCCGGCAGGGCACGGGGCAACCAGGGAAGCGGCGCCUUCUGGCCACGUCUUUAAUUAAAUGAGGCCCUCUUGUGACCACUGUUCAGCCUAAUAAGUUGUCUCCAGUUGCGGAGAAAGUUGCUAUUAAAGACCUGAUGGGAAGCAGCAACUCAGAACAGCCUAGCUCAUCUCAGGACGAGACUGUCUUUCCUAACAGUUUCCGGGAAUGACAUCGCCACCUGGCCUGGAUAUUCCAGCUUUCGGGGGCCGGGGGAGUCUCCCUGUGGCCCUCUCCUAGGAACCUGGGGGCUGGCCUGCAUUCAACCCUUUACUUAGGAAGUGUAACCCUUAGAGAUCGGAAGAAACCUGGGAAUAAGACAAUUCAAUAAAGUCACAAUAAAAC